AAAAAAAAUUAAAAUUAAAAGAAGCAACAUGUCCACAAACAAAUUAUCAUGAGUGGCAAAACAAAUACUGUUAUUUUAAAAACUCAAACUAGAUUUUAACCCGCAGUAUACCGCGGAACGAUUUAUUUUUUAAAAGUAAUAUAUAUUAAAACUUGCAAAUUUUAUUUUUAUAAAAUAUUUCAAUUUUACAGUUUAUAAUUGUUAUUAAGUAACGCUAUACCACGAAUCCAUGAGACAAUCAUGAGACAAUUGUUAAAAAACUGAAGUUUUAACCCCUAUUAAAACAGCAUACUAAUAAUAUUUUAAAAUUUUAUAAAUAUUGAUUCAAAUACAUCUACCAUAUAACCCAAUUCCAAAAUAAAACCCGUUCUGUAAUUUUUUAACCCGUCCCGUGAUUUUUUUUUUGAAGUAGUAAUUUUUAAAAUUUAAGAAUUAUUUU
Molecule: small RNA, 439 nt
Filed under: Arabidopsis thaliana (thale cress)
Lineage: Eukaryota; Viridiplantae; Streptophyta; Magnoliopsida; Brassicales; Brassicaceae
Description: ATSL298810
Source: RNAcentral